CGCACCUUGCGCUCCUUGGUAUUCCUAGGAGCAUGCCUGUUUGAGUGUCUUGAAAUCAUCAACCCCUCUCCGCUUUGUGGUGGAGCUCUGGUGGAUUGGAUUUGGGGAUCUGCUGGUUAAGCCCUUGGGGCACAUCUGGCUUCCCUUGAAUGCAUUAGCAGUUGUAUCUUCGGUUUUCUGACUUGCUCACGGUGUGAUAAUAUCAUUCAUUGUGGGGCUUGUUGGGUGCGGAGGUUUUCCUGCUUCUAAUUGUCCUCGGACAAAUUCUUUCAAGUUUUGACCUCAAAUCAGGUAGGACUACCCGCUGAACUUAA
Molecule: unclassified non-coding RNA, 314 nt
Filed under: Trechispora byssinella
Lineage: Eukaryota; Fungi; Basidiomycota; Agaricomycetes; Trechisporales; Hydnodontaceae
Description: partial contains 5.8S ribosomal RNA, internal transcribed spacer 2, and large subunit ribosomal RNA
Source: RNAcentral